This 497-nucleotide ribosomal RNA is filed under the name uncultured bacterium. RNAcentral describes it as "partial 16S ribosomal RNA". It matches the Rfam family "Bacterial small subunit ribosomal RNA", at positions 28 to 507 of the family's 1533-position model. The record is from RNAcentral.
GAUGAACGCUGGCGGCGUGCCUAAUACAUGCAAGUCGAGCGAACGGACGAGCAGCUUGCUUCUCUGAUGUUAGCGGCGGACGGGUGAGUAACACGUGGAUAACCGACCUAUAAGACUGGGAUAACUUCGGGAAACCGGUGCUAAUACCGGAUAAUAUUUUGAACCGCAUGGUUCAAUAUAGAAAGACGGUCUUGCUGUCACUUAUAGAUGGAUCCGCGCUGCAUUAGCUAGUUGGUAAGGUAAAGAUUUACCAAGGCAACGAUGCAUAGCCGCACUGAGAGGGUGAUCGGUCACAGUGGAGCUAGGACGCGGUCCAGACUCCGGAGGGAGGCAGCGGUAGGGAAUCUUCCGCAGAGAGCGAAAGCCUAACGGAGCAACGCCGCGUGAGUGAGGAAGGUCUUCGGAGCGUGAAACUCUGUGAUUAGAGAAGAACAUAUGUGUAAGUAACUGUGCACAUCAUGACGUUACCUAAUCAGAAAGCCACGGCUAACUACGUG